GUCCUUGUCGAUUAGUGGUUAAAUCAUCACGUUGUGGAAGCGUUAACUGGCGGGUUGCGUGAUCACCGUGAAGCCGGAAGUUCGAAUCCUCCCUGGGACA
Non-coding RNA from Phlebopus sp. FC_14, 100 nucleotides. The record is from the annotation of a GenBank genome assembly. Lineage: Eukaryota; Fungi; Basidiomycota; Agaricomycetes; Boletales; Boletinellaceae.